Molecule: long non-coding RNA, 416 nt
Filed under: Scleropages formosus (Asian bonytongue)
Lineage: Eukaryota; Metazoa; Chordata; Actinopteri; Osteoglossiformes; Osteoglossidae
Description: lncRNA (ENSSFOG00015028762.1)
Source: RNAcentral
UUUGUGCAUUUCGAAGUAGGAUUAGGCGAAUCUCUGCGUUUUGUGCAUUUCGAGGUAGGAUUAGGCGAAUCUCUACGUUUUGUGCGUUUGGGAUUAGGAUGAGGCGAAUCUCUGCGUUUUGUGCAUUUGGGCUUAUGAUUAGGCGAAUACGUUUUUGUGCAUUUCGAGGUAGGAUUAGGCGAAUCUCUGUGUUUUUUUUUGCAUUUGGGAUCAUUAUUAGGAGAAUCUCUACGUUUUGUGCAUUUGGGCUUAUGAUUAGGCGAAUCUCUGUGUUUUUUUUUUGCAUUUGGGAUCAUUAUUAGGAGAAUCUCUACGUUUUUGUGCAUUUCGAGGUAGGAUGAGGCGAAUCUCUACGUUUUGUGCAUUUCGAAGUAGGAUGAGGCGAAUCUCUACGUUUUGUGCAUUUGGGAUUAGGC